AUCACAUGCAAUUUAAAUAGGAUUGUCAAACACGUAUCUGUAUAGACAGUGUUCCUAUUCUUAAUGAUGCUGCAUAUGGUAAAUACAAUACGAGUGCUUAGUUGCCUUCAACUCUUUCAGAAGAGUGAAGAAACGGCAUGAGACAAAGAGGGACGUUAACAAAAUAAUACUAACGUAAAAAUAAUCAGGUUAAAUCCAUAUUGCUCACCUCUGCGAUUAGAUAAAACAAAAAU
This is a long non-coding RNA of Frieseomelitta varia, 233 nucleotides long. RefSeq lists it as uncharacterized. The transcript has 2 exons. The record is from RefSeq and is a predicted model, not a curated record. NCBI's taxonomy places the organism in Eukaryota, Metazoa, Arthropoda, Insecta, Hymenoptera, Apidae.